AUACGCUGCGAAAAGCCGUGGGGAGCUGCGAAUAAGCUUUGAUCCAUGGAUCUCCGAAUGGGGCAACCCACCUUAAAUGCUUGGAAAAUCCAGUCCGAUCGAGUGAUCGGCCUGGGUUUCCAAGCAUUGUGAUAAGGUAUCUGCACCUGAAUAAACUAGGGUGUAAGAAGCGAACGCAGGGAACUGAAACAUCUAAGUACCUGCAGGAAAGGACAUCAACCGAGACUCCGCAAGUAGUGGCGAGCGAACGCGGACCAGGCCAGUGGCAAUUGUUGUUAAAGCGGAACACUCUGGAAAGUUUGGCCGUAGCGGGUGACAGCCCCGUACGCGUAGAUACAGCGAUUGUCCUAGAGUAGGGCGGGACACGAGAAAUCCUGUCUGAACAUGGGGAGACCACUCUCCAAGCCUAAGUACUCGUGCAUGACCGAUAGC
This 432-nucleotide ribosomal RNA is filed under the name Rhizobium sp. MApud6.2. Its description in RNAcentral is "bacterial LSU rRNA". It matches the Rfam family "Bacterial large subunit ribosomal RNA", at positions 61 to 491 of the family's 2925-position model. Lineage: Bacteria; Pseudomonadati; Pseudomonadota; Alphaproteobacteria; Hyphomicrobiales; Rhizobiaceae. RNAcentral also lists the same sequence under 1 other name. The record is from RNAcentral.